RNAcentral lists this ribosomal RNA (481 nucleotides) under Escherichia coli. Its description in RNAcentral is "partial 23S ribosomal RNA". It matches the Rfam family "Bacterial large subunit ribosomal RNA", at positions 1291 to 1772 of the family's 2925-position model. Lineage: Bacteria; Pseudomonadati; Pseudomonadota; Gammaproteobacteria; Enterobacterales; Enterobacteriaceae. The record is from RNAcentral.
CGAAUGCUGACAUAAGUAACGAUAAAGCGGGUGAAAAGCCCGCUCGCCGGAAGACCAAGGGUUCCUGUCCAACGUUAAUCGGGGCAGGGUGAGUCGACCCCUAAGGCGAGGCCGAAAGGCGUAGUCGAUGGGAAACAGGUUAAUAUUCCUGUACUUGGUGUUACUGCGAAGGGGGGACGGAGAAGGCUAUGUUGGCCGGGCGACGGUUGUCCCGGUUUAAGCGUGUAGGCUGGUUUUCCAGGCAAAUCCGGAAAAUCAAGGCUGAGGCGUGAUGACGAGGCACUACGGUGCUGAAGCAACAAAUGCCCUGCUUCCAGGAAAAGCCUCUAAGCAUCAGGUAACAUCAAAUCGUACCCCAAACCGACACAGGUGGUCAGGUAGAGAAUACCAAGGCGCUUGAGAGAACUCGGGUGAAGGAACUAGGCAAAAUGGUGCCGUAACUUCGGGAGAAGGCACGCUGAUAUGUAGGUGAAGUCCCUCG